CAUUGGUGAGAAUCCAAUGCCCCGAAAACCCAAGGUUUCCUCUGCAAGGUUCGUCCACGGAGGGUGAGUCAGGGCCUAAGAUCAGGCCGAAAGGCGUAGUCGAUGGACAACAUGUCAAUAUUUCUGUACUACCCCUUGUUGGGACGGAGGGACGGAGGAAGCUAGGUUUGCCGAAACGGUUAUAGGUUUAAGGACACAAGGUGACCCUACUUUUUCAGGGCGAGAAGGGGUACAGAAAAUGCCUCGAGCCG
RNAcentral lists this non-coding RNA (251 nucleotides) under Zea mays. RNAcentral describes it as "Bacterial large subunit ribosomal RNA". It matches the Rfam family "Bacterial large subunit ribosomal RNA", at positions 1316 to 1596 of the family's 2925-position model. The record is from Rfam by way of RNAcentral. Lineage: Eukaryota; Viridiplantae; Streptophyta; Magnoliopsida; Poales; Poaceae.